RNAcentral lists this ribosomal RNA (426 nucleotides) under uncultured bacterium. RNAcentral's name for it is "partial 16S ribosomal RNA". It matches the Rfam family "Bacterial small subunit ribosomal RNA", at positions 354 to 796 of the family's 1533-position model. The record is from RNAcentral.
GUGAGGAAUUUUCCGCAAUGGGCGAAAGCCUGACGGAGCAAUGCCGCGUGAAGGAUGAAGGCCUAUGGGUUGUAAACUUCUUUUCUCAGAAAAGAAUUAUGACGGUAUCUGAGGAAUAAGCAUCGGCUAACUCUGUGCCAGCAGCCGCGGUAAGACAGAGGAUGCAAGCGUUAUCCGGAAUGAUUGGGCGUAAAGCGUCUGUAGGUUGUUUAAAAAGUAUUCUGUCAAAGAUUAGGGCUUAACCCUAGAUAGGCAGAAUAAACUUUUAAGCUAGAGUUUGGUAGAGGCAGAGAGAAUUCCCGGUGCAGAGGUGAAAUGCGUAGAUAUCGGGAGGAACACCAAAGGCGAAGGCACUCUGCUGGGCCAAUACUAACACUGAGAGACGAAAGCGAGAGGAGCAAAUGGGAUUAGAUACCCGAGUAGUCC